CACUAGCGCGAAAGGAGGUGAUCCGAUGUCUCAUGGUUCAGCAGAGAGGUCGGCAAGUUUCCGCGCGGAGCACUAUCGGUAAGACGGUACCCCUAGAGGCUUCGUGAGCGGCACUUCCUGGCCGCUGACCAUGAAAGGGCGUUUCCAUCCGCCACGGCACAAGGGGCGGGCUGGAAGCGCCCU
RNAcentral lists this small RNA (183 nucleotides) under Erythrobacter sp. HL-111. RNAcentral describes it as "caulobacter sRNA CC2171". Lineage: Bacteria; Pseudomonadati; Pseudomonadota; Alphaproteobacteria; Sphingomonadales; Erythrobacteraceae. The record is from RNAcentral.